UCAGCAGGUUUCAUGCAACUUUAUGAAGCAAAAUUAAUCCAUUCUAUAGGGUGAUAGCUAGAUGGAUCUACUAAGCAACAUAUUUUAUAUAUUUGAUAUUUAGAAACUAAACAGUUUCUUUUUUUAAUUUUUUUUUUUUUUUAGGAGGUCGACUUGAUGGACUUUUAUUGCUGUGAAUGGUGAAAUGUGUCUGGAACUAUAAUUGUACCCAUAACCAGGCUUUGGAAAAUUGUUCCUGCAGCCUGGUCUUUCUGGGUCAGCAACUCCACGGCGUCAUUUUUGCAGAUGCAUUUGGAACACGGUGUAAAAACAGCUCAAGAUGAUGUAGACUGUUAUAGUGAGGCACAGAGUAAUGAAGGUGAGGAUAACCACAAAGCCACCGAUGCUCCACCCAUCUUGAAAACCUUUCUCUGAUAUCUUCCAGAAGAGUCUGUCAUACAGGAACUCUGAAACAUGUCCAGGACUGUCCUCUGCUUUGGAUCCUGUGAAAAAAACAGGUUGUAUCCAUUUGAAACCUACACCCCCAAAUACAGAACACCAAGAGAAAAAGUGACAGACAUUCUACUUUUGUAAGGUACAGUAGAUACAGUGAUGUCCAUAAAGAACCCUUUAGUUUUUGUCUUUAAUGUGACUGAGACGUCACACAGAUUUAUAACAUGCAUAACAGGAGAGGUGAUGACAGAGCAUUUGAUAAAAUUAACAUGAUUUUGAAUUCACAAUCUCUGUCUUGAACUGCUCAAUCGCUCAGUUGUUGUUUGAUUUACAUUCAUGCAACCCCAAUUUUAUUUAUUAUUUUUUUAAAUGAUCACAUAGAAGAGACUACUUUUUUAGUUAAACAAUAAGCUGGCUUUUGUACAUUUUAGUUUAAAAUCUGUAUGUGGCUCAAUUGAUCCAUUAUAUAUAUCAAGUGAAAUCUAAGAAAAUCUGACACUAUCUCCUGAAAAAUAUGAGAAACGAAGGAUAAAAUGACAGGUUAUAAGGUAAAUGGCUGGUAGUUUCAACUCCAGAGACCCUCUUUGGAUACUAGUCAACAUCAUGAAACGCCCACCAGUCAACGUAGCAAUUUUGACAGUUUGUUUGACCCAGGACUGAAUGGCAAGGGGUGUUCAGGUCAGGUUUGCAUGGUGGCAUCAUGCUUGAGUGUAUCCAGUGCCACUGUCCCUCACCGUUCGUAAGCAUCAAAUGCCCAU
Molecule: long non-coding RNA, 1190 nt
Organism: Polyodon spathula (Mississippi paddlefish)
Lineage: Eukaryota; Metazoa; Chordata; Actinopteri; Acipenseriformes; Polyodontidae
Exons: 3
Source: RefSeq, a predicted model, not a curated record